RNAcentral lists this ribosomal RNA (816 nucleotides) under Triticum aestivum (bread wheat). Its description in RNAcentral is "partial small subunit ribosomal RNA". The record is from RNAcentral. Lineage: Eukaryota; Viridiplantae; Streptophyta; Magnoliopsida; Poales; Poaceae.
AUGGACGCCGGGCUGGUACCACUUUUUCUGUGCGCGACGGUCGGGACGACCCAGACGACCGCCGUCGACCCCAUCGGCCAGCUCUGCGCUGUCACGGCACCAUACGACGUGUGGGUGCACGUGGACGCCGCCUACGCCGGCUCCGCGCUGGUCUGCCCGGAGUUCACCCACGUGAUCGACGGAAUGGAGGCCGUGGACUCAUUCAGCAUGAACGCCCACAAGUGGCUCCUCGCCAACAACGACUGCUGCGCGAUGUGGCGGCGCUCGGGACGGAGCAGGACGCUGGACGCGGCGACGGAGCAGGAGUACAUCCUCAAGGACGCGGCGUCGAAGGGGCACCACGUGGUGGACUACAAGGGCUGGACCAUGACGCUCACCCGCCGGUUCCGCGCGCUCAAGAUGUGGCUCCUGCUUCGCUGCUAUGGCAUCCAGGGCCUCCGUGGCCGCAUCCGCUCUCACAUUAGCAUGGCCAAGGCCUUCGAGAACAUGGUGAAAGCCGACGAAAGGUUUGAGGUGGUGACAGAAAGGACGUUUGCACUGCUAUGCUUCCGACUUCGAUCACAACAGAAGUUCGGUGGCAAGAAGACGGUGAACGAGCUCAACCGACGCCUCCUUGAGGAGGUGAUCGCUGUCACCUUGGGCCCCUACAUGAGCUCUGCAAACGUAGGUGGCAUGUUCAUGCUAAGAUGUGCCAUUGGAAGCACACUCACAGAGGACCACCACGUCAGGGAUGCAUGGAAGGUCGUGCAGGAUCAGGCCUCCAUCCUCCUUGGUAAAAUGGAUACUCCCUCCGUGUUUAUUUUCUCCACAUAUUAG